Molecule: transfer RNA, 64 nt
Filed under: Galeruca luctuosa
Lineage: Eukaryota; Metazoa; Arthropoda; Insecta; Coleoptera; Chrysomelidae
Description: tRNA-Ala
Source: RNAcentral
AGGAUAAUAGUUUAAACUAAAACAUUUAAUUUGCAUUUAAAAAAUAUUAAAUUAAUUUAUCUUA